UGGGGAAUAUUGGGCAAUGGACGCAAGUCUGACCCAGCAACGCCGCGUGAAGGAAGAAGGCUUUCGGGUUGUAAACUUCUUUUAAGGGGGAACAGCAGAAGAGGGUACCCCUUGAAUAAGCCACGGCUAACUACGUGCCAGCAGCCGCGGUAAUACGUAGGUGGCAAGCGUUGUCCGGAUUUACUGGGUGUAAAGGGCGUGCAGCCGGGUCUGCAAGUCAGAUGUGAAAUCCGUGGGCUCAACCCACGAACUGCAUUUGAAACUGUGGAUCUUGAGUAUCGGAGAGGUAAUCGGAAUUCCUAGUGUAGCGGUGAAAUGCGUAGAUAUUAGGAGGAACACCAGUGGCGAAGGCGGAUUGCUGGACGACAACUGACGGUGAGGCGCGAAAGCGUGGGGAGCAAACAGG
Molecule: ribosomal RNA, 406 nt
Filed under: Oscillospiraceae bacterium
Lineage: Bacteria; Bacillati; Bacillota; Clostridia; Eubacteriales; Oscillospiraceae
Description: bacterial SSU rRNA
Rfam family: Bacterial small subunit ribosomal RNA
Source: RNAcentral